GAAUGUGAAGGCACGCUAGCUGUGACAUUUGUCACUCCAGGGUUGAUAUGACUAAUCUGGCUGGCAAGGCAGGUGUGCCCUUCCUCCCUCACCACUCCAUGUGUGUCCCUCUGUGCUGCACGCUAAAUCCAAGAGGACAACCCUCCCUCAAUAGAGACAGACUGCUCUUGGUGGAG
This 176-nucleotide small nuclear RNA is filed under the name Erinaceus europaeus (western European hedgehog). Its description in RNAcentral is "7SK RNA". It matches the Rfam family "7SK RNA". From Rfam's summary of the family: 7SK was discovered as an abundant small nuclear RNA in the mid-70s but a possible function has only recently been suggested. Two independent studies have found that 7SK RNA binds the CDK9/cyclin T complex (known as elongation factor P-TEFb). The record is from Rfam by way of RNAcentral. Lineage: Eukaryota; Metazoa; Chordata; Mammalia; Eulipotyphla; Erinaceidae.